AGUCACUGACAUUAGAUACCCCUGUAGUCCUAGCCGUAAACGAUACUCGCUAGGUGUCGGCCACGGUGUGACCGUUGUCGGUGCCGUAGGGAAGCCGUGAAGCGAGCCACCUGGGAAGUACGGCCGCAAGGCUGAAACUUAAAGGAAUUGGCGGGGGAGCACCACAACGGGUGGAGCUUGCGGUUUAAUUGGAUUCAACGCCGGAAAUCUUACCGGGACCGACAGCAACAUGAAGGCCAGGCUGAAGACUUUGCCGGAUUAGCUG
This 265-nucleotide ribosomal RNA is filed under the name uncultured archaeon. RNAcentral's name for it is "partial 16S ribosomal RNA". It matches the Rfam family "Archaeal small subunit ribosomal RNA", at positions 718 to 982 of the family's 1478-position model. The record is from RNAcentral.